Molecule: transfer RNA, 73 nt
Filed under: endosymbiont of Sipalinus gigas
Lineage: Bacteria; Pseudomonadati; Pseudomonadota; Gammaproteobacteria
Rfam family: tRNA
About the family: Transfer RNA (tRNA) molecules are approximately 80 nucleotides in length.
Source: Rfam by way of RNAcentral
GUCGAUAUAGCUCAGUUGGUAGAGCAACUAACUUGUAAUUAGUAGGUCAAAGGUUCAAAUCCUUUUAUCGGCU